CAAGGCAGACGGCUCAGUAACGCGUAGUCAACCUACCCUAUGGACGGGGAUAACCUCGGGCAAACUGAGAAUAAUACCCGAUAGAACACUAUACCUGGAAUGGUUUGUGUUCCAAACAAUUUAUUGCCGUAGGAUGGGACUGCGGCCUAUCAKUUUGUUGGUGAGGUAAUGGCCCACCAAGACUAUUACAGGUACGGGCUCUGAGAGGAGUGGCCCGGAGAUGGGUACUGAKACACGGACCCAGGCCCUAUGGGGCGCAGCAGGCGAGAAAACUUUGCAAUGUGCGAAAGCACGACAAGGUUAAUCCGAGUGGUUUCUGCUAAAGGAACCUUUUGACAGUCCUAGAAACACUGUUGAAUAAGGGGUGGGCAAGUUCUGGUGUCAGCCGCCGCGGUAAAACCAGCACCUCMMGUGGUCAGGAUGAUUAUUGNGCCUAAAGCAUCCGUAGCCGGCUCUGUAAGUUUUCGGUUAAAUCUKUACKCUUAACGUACAGGCUGCUGGGAAUACUGCAGGGCUUAGGGGAGUGGUAGAGGUAGACGGUACUUC
RNAcentral lists this ribosomal RNA (546 nucleotides) under uncultured archaeon. RNAcentral's name for it is "bacterial SSU rRNA". It matches the Rfam family "Archaeal small subunit ribosomal RNA", at positions 77 to 621 of the family's 1478-position model. The record is from RNAcentral.